Molecule: ribosomal RNA, 274 nt
Filed under: uncultured bacterium
Lineage: Bacteria
Description: partial 16S ribosomal RNA
Rfam family: Bacterial small subunit ribosomal RNA
Source: RNAcentral
AUACGGAGGGUGCAAGCGUUACUCGGAAUCACUGGGCGUAAAGCGCGCGCAGGCGGAUUGGCAAGUUGGAUGUGAAAGCCUGCGGCUCAACCGCAGAACUGCAUCCAAAACUGUCAGUCUAGAGUCUGGGAGAGGUAGCUGGAAUUAGUGGUGUAGGGGUAAAAUCCGUAGAGAUCACUAGGAAUACCGAAAGCGAAGGCGAGCUACUGGAACAGUACUGACGCUGAGGCGCGAAAGCGUGGGGAGCAAACAGGAUUAGAUACCCUUGUAGUCC